This is a long non-coding RNA of Bolinopsis microptera, 1695 nucleotides long. RefSeq lists it as uncharacterized. The record is from RefSeq and is a predicted model, not a curated record. NCBI's taxonomy places the organism in Eukaryota, Metazoa, Ctenophora, Tentaculata, Lobata, Bolinopsidae. The transcript has 6 exons.
GUUCACUGUUGCCUCGCGUUAUUCCAUCAUCCAUAUUUCUGCUCUUAGUUGCUUUAUAAUGUGUCAGCAGUAAUCAGCCCUGCUGUAUUAUAUAUUGUGCUUGAUUGUUGAUACCUAAUUAAUUAACUGUUUACGAUGGCAGUUAUGGUGGAUGAUGAUUAAUCACUCUACAAUCGCCUGUCACGUGACUUCUUCAACCCGUUCUGUAGAUGGCCCUAAACAACUAUUCGAAACCCGGAAACCAUAACCCUCUAAUCAGAUCCCAACCCUAACGGCCUAACCCUAACCAAAUCCUUUACAAAAGCAUACACUGAAACACUAUAGAGAAAUUAGGCUAACUUCCUUAUACGGUCAUAUCAGGUGAUCGAGACAGUUUUUCGCCAAUAUCUCGUUAGGGGAGAAUUUUAACCUUAUGUCAUGGGGGUAAUAGGUAAGUGCUUAGUAACCUCUUUGCUUUUAUUCGAGCCUUUUAUUAAAUCGAAGUUACAGUUCACGAGGUUGAUCCUUUGGGAGAUAUUAAAUCCUGUUUUACUAUUAUUUAUAAAUUCUAACGUUUAACUUUAAUAAUAAUAAGUAAGUUUGGACGCAGACUAGAAACGAGUUUAAUCGACUAAGUUUUUGAUUUUGUGUACCUUUUUAUCAUACAACUUUUUAAUUUCAGCAAACUUUAGUUAAAGAGUAAAUCAAAGUUAGCAAUCAUUGAACUCAAUAGUUAAAAAGGAGAAGCUAAAAGCGCUGAAAGACCAAGAAAGAAGCAUCUCCCUGUUGAAUCAGCACGCUGAAGAAGUACAGCGACUAGGACUGGUGAACAAGCUGAUAAACUCAGACAGCAGCAAAAACUUCAAGAUCUAAAAUAGGCCCGGGCUUUUUUAAAAGUUACUGACAUCACGCUGGUCCUCACUUUUUGGAGUCUACUCCCUCAUUUCCAGGCUGAACAGGAAGCUGUACAACAACCGGCCUGACAAGUUACCGGUCUGACAAGUUACAAGUGGUGGACCUACAUCAUCUAGAUGUACAGGUACAAAUUCUACUAGUACGAUUCGAUGCAGUGGAAGAGGUUGAAGUUGACGUUUAAGCAGUCACCCUGCCGAACAAGAAAUCAGUCAGGCAAAGAGGCUAGGUUGACUAGAAACUCAAUCACUAUAUCCGUGAAACUUGCUGGAAGCUAUGUGUGGAGGUCGGACCGAAACUGUAAUCAGACACUAAACAUUAACGAGGACCAAUUAUUUUACUCCUUUAAUGAUGAAUAAAGAUCGCUGAUUGCUUUUACUGAUAUAUAGUGUUAAAAUGAAAGAGAAACUGUUGAGACGAAAGAGAAAAACGCACUCAUUUAUUUAUAGUUUUAUGUCUUAACAAUGUUAUUCGAAAGCUAAUUUUAAAAGCUGGCUCUGAAUCCUUGCUAAAUGAUUUGGGAAGGUGUAAGGGCUAAAUAUGCCUGUAGACAUCAUUUUCAGUGGGUUUUAUGAAGUUUAUGAUUAGGGUAUAUUUUGGGACUGAAAUAAGCGCAAGACCUUCGACGUUUCUAUUCCUACUGUUUUUUUAAUUUAGCAAAUAUACAAAAAAAAAUUAUACUGUCGUAAAGAUAAAAUGUUUAGUUAUCGGAUAGAUACUUUAAAAUUAAGUAUUAAAAUAACCGAGCUAAGAUAUUCAAUGUUAAACUCAAAAAUGUUCACGCGUUUAUGAAGAAAUAUUUAA